RNAcentral lists this small nuclear RNA (105 nucleotides) under Canis lupus familiaris (dog). The record is from RNAcentral. RNAcentral also lists the same sequence under 1 other name. Lineage: Eukaryota; Metazoa; Chordata; Mammalia; Carnivora; Canidae.
GUGCCUGGUUCAGCAGCACAUAUACUAAAACCGAAAUGAUACAGAGAUUAGCAUGGCCCCCAUGCAAGGAUGACAUGCAAAUCCAAGUACAUAUUUCACUUGUAU